This 405-nucleotide ribosomal RNA is filed under the name uncultured Acidimicrobiia bacterium. RNAcentral's name for it is "bacterial SSU rRNA". It matches the Rfam family "Bacterial small subunit ribosomal RNA", at positions 355 to 776 of the family's 1533-position model. Lineage: Bacteria; Bacillati; Actinomycetota; Acidimicrobiia. The record is from RNAcentral.
UGGGGAAUCUUGCACAAUGGGCGAAAGCCUGAUGCAGCAACGCCGCGUGGGGGAUGAAGGCUCUCGGGUUGUAAACCCCUUUCAGUGGGAACGAAACUGACGGUACCCACAGAAGAAGCCCCGGCCAACUACGUGCCAGCAGCCGCGGUGAUACGUAGGGGGCAAGCGUUGUCCGGAUUCAUUGGGCGUAAAGAGCUCGUAGGCGGCUUGAUUAGUCGGGUGUGAAACCUCCAGGCUCAACCUGGAAUCGCCACUCGAUACUGUCAUGGCUAGAGUCCGGUAGGGGACCACGGAAUUCCUGGUGUAGCGGUGAAAUGCGCAGAUAUCAGGAGGAACACCGGUGGCGAAGGCGGUGGUCUGGGCCGGCACUGACGCUGAGGAGCGAAAGCGUGGGGAGCGAACAGG